Molecule: ribosomal RNA, 487 nt
Filed under: Veillonella parvula
Lineage: Bacteria; Bacillati; Bacillota; Negativicutes; Veillonellales; Veillonellaceae
Description: bacterial SSU rRNA
Rfam family: Bacterial small subunit ribosomal RNA
Source: RNAcentral
GACGAACGCUGGCGGCGUGCUUAACACAUGCAAGUCGAACGAAGAGCGAUGGAAGCUUGCUUCUAUCAAUCUUAGUGGCGAACGGGUGAGUAACGCGUAAUCAACCUGCCCUUCAGAGGGGGACAACAGUUGGAAACGACUGCUAAUACUGCAUACGAUCUAAUCUCGGCAUCGAGGAUAGAUGAAAGGUGGCCUCUACAUGUAAGCUAUCACUGAAGGAGGGGAUUGCGUCUGAUUAGCUAGUUGGAGGGGUAACGGCCCACCAAGGCGAUGAUCAGUAGCCGGUCUGAGAGGAUGAACGGCCACAUUGGGACUGAGACACGGCCCAGACUCCUACGGGAGGCAGCAGUGGGGAAUCUUCCGCAAUGGACGAAAGUCUGACGGAGCAACGCCGCGUGAGUGAUGACGGCCUUCGGGUUGUAAAGCUCUGUUAAUCGGGACGAAAGGCCUUCUUGCGAAUAGUGAGAAGGAUUGACGGUACCGGAAA